Molecule: unclassified non-coding RNA, 352 nt
Filed under: Hevea brasiliensis (rubber tree)
Lineage: Eukaryota; Viridiplantae; Streptophyta; Magnoliopsida; Malpighiales; Euphorbiaceae
Source: RNAcentral
AAUAAUUAAAUUACAAUCAAUGGUUGAGUGCCACGUCAUUAAAAAUUAUUAUUUAAUUAUUUUUAAUUUUGGUAUGUUAAUGAAGGGGUAAAUUUGGACCCAAAGGUGGAUGUGAAAGGUAUUUGGGGGCCAAUAGGUGGAUGGAGGGCAAUUGUGUAUCAUUUUCAAUACUUUGAGGGUAUUUUAGGCCCUUUUCCGUAUAAAUAAUAAAGAAUCGUGCACGGGGAAAUUGAUUAAUUUGUAAUAAAAUGAAUAUUAAAUGAGUGUUUAUAAAAAGUAUGGUUAAUGGAGAGGAGGUUUGAUUGCUUUGAUUAAUUAAUUCUUGGUAUGUUAAUAUAUCUCUUGAUGUUGU